Molecule: ribosomal RNA, 497 nt
Filed under: uncultured bacterium
Lineage: Bacteria
Description: partial 16S ribosomal RNA
Rfam family: Bacterial small subunit ribosomal RNA
Source: RNAcentral
GAUGAACGCUGGCGGCGUGCCUAAUACAUGCAAGUAGAACGCUGAAGGAAGGAGCUUGCUCUUUCCGGAUGAGUUGCGAACGGGUGAGUAACGCGUAGGUAACCUGCCUGGUAGCGGGGGAUAACUAUUGGAAACGAUAGCUAAUACCGCAUAACAGUAGAUGUUGCAUGAUAUCUACUUAAAAGGUGCAAUUGCACCACUACCAGAUGGACCUGCGUUUUAUUAGCUAGUUGGUGAGGUAACGGCUCACCAAGGCGAAGAUACAUAGCCGACCUGAGAGGGUGAUCGGCCACACUGGGACUGGGACACGGCCCAGACUCCUACGGGAGGCAGCAGUAGGGAAUCUUCGGCAAUGGACGGAAGUCUGACCGAGCAACGCCGCGUGAGUGAAGAAGGUUUUCGGAUCGUAAAGCUCUGUUGUAAGAGAAGAACGAGUGUGAGAGUGGAAAGUUCACACUGUGACGGUAUCUUACCAGAAAGGGACGGCUAACUACGUG